RNAcentral lists this ribosomal RNA (554 nucleotides) under Serratia marcescens. RNAcentral's name for it is "partial 23S ribosomal RNA". It matches the Rfam family "Bacterial large subunit ribosomal RNA", at positions 2242 to 2795 of the family's 2925-position model. The record is from RNAcentral. Lineage: Bacteria; Pseudomonadati; Pseudomonadota; Gammaproteobacteria; Enterobacterales; Yersiniaceae.
GGGGUGAGGACAGUGUCUGGUGGGUAGUUUGACUGGGGCGGUCUCCUCCCAAAGAGUAACGGAGGAGCACGAAGGUUAGCUAAUCACGGUCGGACAUCGUGAGGUUAGUGCAAAGGCAUAAGCUAGCUUGACUGCGAGAGUGACGGCUCGAGCAGGUACGAAAGUAGGUCUUAGUGAUCCGGUGGUUCUGAAUGGAAGGGCCAUCGCUCAACGGAUAAAAGGUACUCCGGGGAUAACAGGCUGAUACCGCCCAAGAGUUCAUAUCGACGGCGGUGUUUGGCACCUCGAUGUCGGCUCAUCACAUCCUGGGGCUGAAGUAGGUCCCAAGGGUAUGGCUGUUCGCCAUUUAAAGUGGUACGCGAGCUGGGUUUAGAACGUCGUGAGACAGUUCGGUCCCUAUCUGCCGUGGGCGUUGGAAGAUUGAGAGGGGUUGCUCCUAGUACGAGAGGACCGGAGUGAACGCACCACUGGUGUUCGGGUUGUCAUGCCAAUGGCAUUGCCCGGUAGCUAAGUGCGGAAAAGAUAAGCGCUGAAAGCAUCUAAGCGCGAAACUU